CAAAUACAGAAACAGGUACGGAGCGCCCCCGCUCUCUAUUAGGAGCGAGAAGCUUUGAGAGAGGCACCGAUGAGGGCGAAGGACUCACCCUUACUCGAAAAUGGUGUAAGAGGAUUAUGGCAAGAGAUGAUCCACGUGGAUGAUGAAAGCAGUCGUGGCAAAAAAGGAAAAAAAAAAAAAAAAGAAACCAUGCGGUGGGCAAUUUGAGUAGAAAGAAAAAACGUGAUCUUCAGAGAAAAAGCUCAAGCCCAAUACAGGUUUUCUCCUCACUCUCCUUGUCCCCUCUCCCUCCUCCUUUUUCUGUCCUAUUUUUUGACUUCUGACUUUUUAUGUUUUUUUUCGUUGUCCUUUUUUUCUUAAACCUGGAGGGCCUAGCUGCCUUUUUAAUCCAUAACACUUGAAUUUUUUUUUUGGAUGCAAGACUAUCUUGUUCCGUAUAUUUUUUUAAUUUAUUUAAAAAAUUUGUAUAUUUGAUAAAAAAAAAUAUGAUCUAAUAUUAAGAAUAAAAUAUUAGAAUUGAGUUCUUAUACAUUUAAAAGUACUAAGUACUAAGUGAUUGAUGCAGAUUCGAAGGAUUAAAAUAAUAGUGGUCUCCUAAAAUUAAGUAGAAUGGUGGGUGGAAUAACAUAAUCUAAGAAAUGAAAUUGGUCAAAAUGAUAGAUUUAACGGUGAAAACUUACAACCACCAAGUACUUAUUGUUUUUACAAGCAUCAUAGUCGGACUCGAAAUAUUAUAUUCGGCUUUUUAAUUUUUUUUUUCAAAAUAAAAUAUAUUAUUUUGCAAAUGAAAAAUGCUAUACUAUCAAAUUAUGGAUAGCAAAAAUUUUUGCAGAAACAAAAAUCAAACUUUUUAAUUACGAUCAUACUAAAAAACUCUCGUACCAAAUAAGUUAUUUAGACAUCCAAACAAGACCUCAAUUAACGAAGCGAACAACCCACUCUCAUUUUCUCAAAAAUGAUUAUUUGCUAAAUGCAAUGGAGGGCAGAUGAGCAGAUCAUGCAUGGAAAAUUUUCAAUUCAGAUAGUUAUUUCCAAACCGUUCAAAGUUUAGGUUAGUUCUACGCAAUUUUAUACAAGUUGUUACAAAUCAACCCAUCAGGUGAAGGCAUUUGGGAAUUUGGAUAAUGACUUGAGAAUUGUCUGUGCCCUGUGUAUUAAAAGGGCCUGUUUGGAUGCUCUGAAAUUUUGUAGUGUUGGGAUUUUUCUAUUGUUUGUAGAAGAAAAAAAUUAUUUA
Long non-coding RNA from Ananas comosus (pineapple), 1234 nucleotides. RefSeq lists it as uncharacterized. The transcript has 2 exons. Lineage: Eukaryota; Viridiplantae; Streptophyta; Magnoliopsida; Poales; Bromeliaceae. The record is from RefSeq and is a predicted model, not a curated record.